AAGGUGCCAAAACCGCACGGUACAGGUUCAAAAAUCUCUAUUUAAAAGAGUACCUUAUCCGGCGAGUCUGAGGUAAGGG
This is a regulatory RNA element of Halanaerobium praevalens DSM 2228, 79 nucleotides long. The record is from Rfam. Lineage: Bacteria; Bacillati; Bacillota; Clostridia; Halanaerobiales; Halanaerobiaceae.